GCCACAGCCAUAUCACCCUGCAGCCCAAGACUGGUUGCCCACUGAAGCUAAGCAGGUUUGAGCCUGGUCAGUACCUGGAUGGGAGACCUCCAAAACUAGGUUGCUGCUGGAA
Molecule: ribosomal RNA, 112 nt
Filed under: Sinocyclocheilus grahami
Lineage: Eukaryota; Metazoa; Chordata; Actinopteri; Cypriniformes; Cyprinidae
Source: RNAcentral